GACGAACGCUGGCGGCGUGCUUAACACAUGCAAGUCGAACGGAAAGGCCCUGCUUUUGUGGGGUGCUCGAGUGGCGAACGGGUGAGUAACACGUGAGUAACCUGCCCUUGACUUUGGGAUAACUUCAGGAAACUGGGGCUAAUACCGGAUAGGAGCUCCUGCUGCAUGGUGGGGGUUGGAAAGUUUCGGCGGUUGGGGAUGGACUCGCGGCUUACCAGCUUGUUGGUGGGGUAGUGGCUUACCAAGGCUUUGACGGGUAGCCGGCCUGAGAGGGUGACCGGCCACAUUGGGACUGAGAUACGGCCCAGACUCCUACGGGAGGCAGCAGUGGGGAAUAUUGCACAAUGGGCGGAAGCCUGAUGCAGCGGCGCCGCGUGCGGGAUGACGGCCUUCGGGUUGUAAACCGCUUUCGCCUGUGACGAAGCGUGAGUGACGGUAAUGGGUAAAGAAGCACCGGCUAACUACGUG
This 468-nucleotide ribosomal RNA is filed under the name uncultured bacterium. RNAcentral describes it as "partial 16S ribosomal RNA". It matches the Rfam family "Bacterial small subunit ribosomal RNA", at positions 28 to 507 of the family's 1533-position model. The record is from RNAcentral.